AGGUCAAGACAUGGGCGUGAUUGACAGGCUAAUGACUUUUCUCGAUUCCAUGGAUGGUGGUGCAUGGUCGCACUUAGUUGGUGCAGUGAUUUGUCAGGUUUAUUCCGGUAACGAACGAGACCUCGGCCUUGUAAAUAGCUAUGCUGCUUACAGGGACAUUGGCGGCUACGCCAAGGAAGCUCGAGGCAAUUGCAGAUCUGGAAUGCCCUUAGAUGUCCUGGGUCGCACGCGUGCUACAAUGACGCCACGAACGAGCUUGCGUGAUGAAAGUUACGCAUAAUCAGCAGUCGGCGUCUUAAGGGAUAGUCUCUUGUAACUGUGGGACUCCAACUAGGAAUGUCUCGUAAGCACAAGUCAACAUCUUGUGUUGAUUACGUCCCUGCUCUUUGUACACACCGCCCGUCGCUCCUACCGAUCGAGUGUUUUGUGAAUUUGAUGGACGUAAGGAAGUCAAAUAAACCUGAGCACUAGAGAAGAGAGCGACAGGGGAUAGAAAAAGC
Molecule: ribosomal RNA, 500 nt
Filed under: uncultured Myrionecta
Lineage: Eukaryota; Ciliophora; Litostomatea; Cyclotrichida; Mesodiniidae
Description: bacterial SSU rRNA
Rfam family: Eukaryotic small subunit ribosomal RNA
Source: RNAcentral